UACGGAGGAUCCAAGCGUUAUCCGGAAUUACUGGGCGUAAAGAGUUGCGUAGGUGGCAGGGUAAGUAGAUAGUGAAAGCGUGUGGCUCAACCAUACUCACAUUAUCUAAACUGCUCAGCUAGAGGACGAGAGAGGUACCUGGAAUUCCCUGUGUAGGAGUGAAAUCCGUAGAUAUAGGGAGGAACACCGAUGGCGUAGGCAGGGUACUGGCUCGUUCCUGACACUAAGGCACGAAAGCGUGGGUAGCAAACGGG
This 254-nucleotide ribosomal RNA is filed under the name uncultured bacterium. RNAcentral describes it as "partial 16S ribosomal RNA". It matches the Rfam family "Bacterial small subunit ribosomal RNA", at positions 524 to 776 of the family's 1533-position model. The record is from RNAcentral.